RNAcentral lists this long non-coding RNA (9164 nucleotides) under Equus caballus (horse). Its description in RNAcentral is "lncRNA (ENSECAG00000060322.1)". Lineage: Eukaryota; Metazoa; Chordata; Mammalia; Perissodactyla; Equidae. The record is from RNAcentral.
CUUCAGCUAUACCCGCAAGUCCUAGUCCCACCCCCGCUACCCCGUGUCCUGGGGACCGGGUCAAGAUGUGCGUAGGUGCUGGGAGGUAGACACCCCUCCUUCCUAGCCCCAGGCGUCACCCACGCCCAGGCCAGCACUGGAUCUUCCACUUACCUAACCUCCCCUCUCCCAAGUCCCAAGGCCACCCCCUGUGCCCCUCCUGAGAGCGGGUGACAAGCUGCUGAGACAGUGUCUGAUUCACCGACAGCUGAACCAGCUAUGCGUACUCGGAGGUUUGCACUAUAAGAAAUGCUAAAGAAAACUCUUCAAGAUGAAAGAAAAUGAAACCUGAUGGAGACUCAGAUCUUUGGGAAGGAAUGAAGAGCAUCAUAUAUGGAGAGCAUCACCUUGUGGUCAGUGAGUUCAAACUCCCGGGCUCUGCUACCGAUGGAGACAGUCUGUUGUCGACCUUGAGCGACUUUCACAUUCUCUCUGGAUGCCUGUUUCCUUGCUUGUGAAUAAACCAGGAGCAGACCAGAGUGAAAGUGGGAGACCAAUUCAGAGGCAAUUUCAGUGGUCCAGGUGGGAGAGGAUGGAGACCUGGACAAGAUGAUGGCAGAUGGAGAUGGAGAGAAGAGCAAGCAACUGUUCAAGGUACCACUCAGGAAGAUGAGCAAAUCGAGGAAGUCCCUCUGGCCUAAAAAUUCUAUCAACUUGCCCAGGAAAUGAAGGCCUGAGAAUUGCACCAGGUGCUCGCUGGCCUCCUAGAUGCAUCUCAGACUCUGCAUGGGCCAGAAAUGAGUAAUGUAUAACCCCCAAGGGUGACAUAAGAUCUCCCACCCAAUUCUGUUCUUCUGGGUAUUUAGGGAAGAGCAAUAUCCAGGGCAAGGUGAUGGUACUUCGCUCCACGGGACAGAAAUUUAGCAUCAACUGGAGAGUUGAAUCUAGAGGGUGGUCUGGGAGGCUGGGUAGAAUUGGAUUGAUUAUUAGGAGAAAAUUCGAAUAAUAUCAUUUAAGUACACACACAUUCUGAAUUAAAUACACAUUUGUGGAUCCCUGUACUUCUUAAUAAAAGGACACUUAGUUCCAAGUUCUCGUUAAGAAGCUGAUAAGCAUCCAUUUUCUUCUAUUCCGACAAUGAUUAUUCCUCAACUCUAUAAAAUUUACAAACUGCUUCGGAAGCAUUGGUGGAGAAAGGUGCUGUAUGAAUAUAUGAGAUUAUUGAAAUAAAUGCUGAUUUAGAGAUUUCCCAGGUGGAGAGUUAAAAUAUACUGGGGCACAUGCACUCACUCUCACCCCACCCUCAGGGUACUUUCCGCUCUGAUCAGCGGAGAUAAAUUUUCCGACCUGACAGUUGACUGUAAAUCAAGAAGUGUGUUUUAAUAGUCACCACCUUUCUGCUUCUGUGUGCUGCUGUCUGAGGCAAUCCUUCACCUCCCGGGACACAAGACCUGAAGGAUUUUGGCACAUUCUCUCCCCUGCACGUGGAGAGGUGGUGCUUAGCAGCAAGGUAAAUAUUGGCAGGCUUGUAGGCGAGCAGUGAAUAUAAAUAAGUCAGGACAUCCUUAGAAAAGUUCAUCUCUGGAUCCACCGUUCUUUUUGCCAAUAGGUAAGAAAAUAGAAAAUCAUGAGUUUCUCAGGUUUUUGCCAAAUCACAACAAGAUAUUUUUGUAACAAUAUAAAAGCUAGAAAGUAUUUGAGAGUCAGUAAAUGCUGAAUAAAUAAUUCUGAAGGUGAACACAUGCCCUUAUUGCCACAAGCCCUGAUUACUGGGUUGGAUUACUACACUUGCUCCUCCUGACUUUAUCCCUCAUAAUCCUGUCCAUCAACGUUUGCUUGGAGUAACGCAAAUAAACCAGGCUGUUCCAUGCCCCAGUGUCUUUGCACCUGCUGCUGUUUAUGCCCGGACUGGAACCCUUUCCAUUAAUCCACGUGGGCCAGGGACAUUUUCUGAUCUUUCAACACUUGGUACCAGGAUCACCUUUAAUUUGCUUUAUGAAGCUUUUCUUGACAAACUCUCUCACUCCCAGACCUGCCACUUCAUCCUGUACAAAUGUGAUUGCACAUGUCUAUUUAACACAAACAUCACUGGCCUCUCUUGGCAAGUCUCUGCUCAUAUCCUGUACUCCCUCUGAGGCCAUAAUCAACACUUCAUUGCUACCCAGUUGCCCUUUGUGACUUCUCAAGCCUCUUCCCAAAGCAUUUUGAGUAAUGUAGCUUUUACUGAAAUGUUCACAAGGGAGAAAAGUGGAGGGCUUACACUGAACACCAUGUGGCCAAACUUCAUAAAAAUCUCCAUCAUUCCAAAAGCCUGUUCUCCUUUUGCCAGCUGCCUUCUCUCCUCUGUCUCUUCCAUUCUCUGCUCUCCUCUAACCUCCUUUCACCCUUGGAUCCCUCAACACGGCCACAAUCCCAGCUCACAAUCCAGCCCUUUCAGCCCUUUCUCCUUCAUUAACUUGUGUCCUUGAAGUUUUAGGUCCUAUUCAUCAAACAAAGUAUCUCUGUGAGAUCACUCCCCUUUAAAAGGCAAGGGUCACAAAAUCUCCACAUUUCUUCUCCUUCCACUAAAGACUGGAGCAACUUGAGGGUAGGAAUCAAGCCCUAUACACUUUUGCAUCUCUUCUGCAAAAUAUUUAAAAUAUUGUGAAAUGGAAGAAGAAAUAAAUGAAAAAAUAUAGCCACAGGUUAAAAUCCCCAAAGCCCCACUCUAAUCACAGUUUUCUUCUGUUUGAAGAUCUUCCUUACCUCGUGAACUCAUGCUUUGGUCAUCUGCCAUUUCUCCCUGACUCUAGCACUCUGCCCCGCCAUGAUGGGCCCUCUCCACUCCAGCCCACUGGGCGUGUUCUUGCCCUCAGGUGCUCAUUCGGGUUGUCUCUCCAGGCCUAGAAUAAUCUAUGUCAUUCAUGAGGAUGGUUGGCGGUGGUUUACCAUCACCCUAUUGGAGGCCAAGGUAGACGCAACUGUUCUGGUUUCGUAGGUCCGUCCUAACCCUUCCCAGUCUUCAAGGCUCAGUGCGGGUCUUUGCUUCCUCAGCAGACUUCAUGGAGGUCUGCAGUCCAGGCGUAAUGCUCUCUCUCAUGUCCUUAGGACAUAAGCCUUGAACACAUCCACUCUGAUGGCACUUAAUCAUUCAGCCUUAUAUCAUUGUUAAAUUUGGGGUAUGAGGCCUUGAGGUCAUCCUCUUUCCAAAAUGUGGUCAUCAUUAGGUCUGUUCACCAAAAUUUUAGGUGUUUUCCUCAUUUCUAGACUUGUGGUAAGUUUGUACUUGUCUAACCCCUUGAAGCUAUGUGUGGCUGUCUAAUUGACUCUGGCUAAUGACAUGUGAACAGAAUUGACAUAAGCCCCUUUGGGAAAUAAGCUUUCAGAGGAAGAGUGAUGGAUCAUGCUGUCUUUCCCUCUGACAUGGCGACUGGCAGUGUUUGAGGCAUCUGGUGGAUUGUCCAUCAGCCUGGGUCUGUGAAUGAGGACCCAGCGAUUCACAUGGGCAUUUGGUAUGAGCAAGAAGUAAACCUUUGUUAUGUUAUGCCAUUUAGAUUCAGAGAUUAUUUGAACAAUUAAUAACAUAAAUAAAUAAAUGUGUGUUGCUGCAGCACAACCAAUCCUAUCCAGACAGACUCUAAGUUCCCUGAAGGCAGCACUCAGGUAUAACUCACCUUUCUGUCCCCCAGAGAACAUAGCACAAUGCCUCACGGAUGUUCGAGAACUACUGCUGAUUGAUUAGACAUACUGUGAUAAGGUAAAAUAUAUGAGACUAGAGAGUAGUACUUGGUGUCAGGACUUCAACUUGAGACUUAGCCUCUAAAAAACCAAAAUAAAUGUACGUGAUGAUUUCAGUAGUAUUCCAAUAAGAUCGUUGCAUACAGGGAGGCAGAAGAGUGUAAUGCAAGGAACCUGGGCUCUCUAGCUUGAUAGACCUGGUUCAAGUGCAAGCUUUACCAGGUACUUGGCUGCAUGACCUUGGGCUGGUUAUUUAAGGUCUUUGAGGCUGGGAGAACAUCACUACUUACUAGGAAGGAUUAUUGUGGGGAUUAAACAAGAGAAUGUAUGUAAAGCCCUUGGCACAUAAUGAAUGGUCAACAAACGUCAUUCUCUUAGGCUCUCCUCCCACCAACUGCGUGUGGGUUGGUAUGAACUCUUGCUUAAUUCUCUGGGAACUACUUCCCUUCAUUUACACCCUCUGAGACCUUGGUUGCUCGCCUAGUCCCUGGAUUUCUUUAGCUUGGCCUACCUCAGAUCCUUAGGAUUUUGCUUUCCCUACCCCAUGCACACUCUGGCCUUCUGAGAAAUUCCAUAUGCAAAUGGUCACAGUUGACAGGAGCCCUUGGCAAAGGACUGCAAUGGGGGAAAAGGGUUCUUGAGACAGACUGUCUGCUGCCCCAAAUUUAAAAUAGGGCCCUUGGUAAGGUGUGUAUAGUCAGGGAGGUGAUCUCUAUGGGGAAGAAAGAAUUUAAGAUGUCAUGGUGACCAGUUCCAAGGAAGCCCCACCUUGGCCUGUGCCCUGGCUCUAAUGGCGGGGGGUUCUUCUCUUGAAUCCUGGGAUUGUAUCAGUGAUGGUCGCAGAGAGGUCUGUGAGAUUAUCUUCAAUGACUGACUCCUUCCACAGACUGGGUCUUGGUGUGGGGCCCGAGGGCUUAUGUUUUCUUGGACUCCUGGCCCAGUGAACUGUGUGUUUACAGGUUUACAAUUGUCCCUGACUGAGUCCUUGAGGCCACCUCCCCCCUUCCCCUCCCCAUGGAGCGCAACCGUGAUGUGGCAUAUCUAACCACCCCAAGGUGCUUGUGUAACUUGUUUUUCAAAGUCUUGGCAGGAGCUCCGGUCCUGAAGUGAGAAAGGGUGUUUACAUUCUGGAAGAGCAGUGCCGACAAAUGUCUUGCAUCAGGGCUGUUCUCCACCAAUCUCUGCUUCCCAGUUUUCUUCUCUGUGGGAUGGCUUGUGACAGCCACAGAGAUAGUCUGGGACCUGGAAGAAACGAGCCUGAACGUGAAAGCAGGUAGGCUGUGAGGCGGCCCUCAUGAAGCUUCAGGGCUAUGUAAACCGCCCUCCCUGGAAAGGUGAGGAGCUUCUUGAGGAUGAGGCGUUUGCUGCCCCACUGCCUGGUGCGGGGCCUCACACAGAGCGCAGCGCUGCCUGCAGGCGCUCAACAGACACGCGCUAAGUCAGUACACGGUGAAAAUACGUGGGAAGGCAACAUUUGAGAGGACACAUUGGGAACUGACACCCCAGUUAACAGCUUUCUUGGAACAGUACUUACAGUAAUAACAACAACGGUUAUUGGUUAUACCUCCUCUAUGCCAAGCAAAGGCGUAUAUUAUUUCCUUAAAUUCUACCAUAGUCAAUAGUUCUAGCAAGACGUAGUCCUCUCUCCAGUGAAUAGCGGAGGGCACGGAGACUCAUGGGCAGAGUCUGAGCAUCUCACCGGAGGUCACGGAGACAGUAAACCCGAAUUCCGAGCCCCUUGGGUGCACGGAAGCCAGUGCUUUUCCGCUUCCGGUUCCUCCACACCGCCCCUCACCCCUGCUGUCUCUGCCUCGUGAAACAACGGUAGGGCAGCUGUCCGUUCUUUUCGUCAUUUCUUCCUCUAGCAAAUAGGCGUGAAUUCAGCACGGAAAGAGCACUGGGGCGGCAGCCCCAUUCCAGAUGUCUGCUUUGUCAUCCUUAAGAACACCCGCCCGUGUUCAAGGCCUUCUAGUACCUCAGUCUCGCAACCCUCCCUGGAGAGCGCCCUCCCCUCCCCUCCUCCCUUCCUCCCUCCCUUCCUCGUGGCCACUCAAGGCUUCCUUCUUUUCUUCUUCUGCCUGGCAUCAAGGCCAGGUUUUCACUUCACUAGAAAAACCUUGCUACAGGUGUUAUUCUGUGGACAGUCCCUGGCACUCAAAUGUGCACUCAAUAAAUAUUUACUGAAUUGCACGCUAAAUUCUAGACAAAAGAAGAAAAGAGUGGAUCCAGAAGAAAAUUGAAAAGCUUCGGGAGUGGGGGAGUGAGUGCAAUAACCAACUCUCUUUCCUUCCCCCUGCCCGCCCCCCUCCCUUAGGAGGGAGGCAGCGGCACAGUCAGUGUUAAGGCUGUCAUUUGAUUACAGUAACAUCCAAACAGAUUGAAAAGCUCCCAUCAAUGCCGGAGCAGAAGUGCACACGCAGGGGGUUGUUUCCUUGGAAAUGUUUCAGCUGUGAUUACUUUCCAAAGAGAAAUAGCCAAAACACUUCCUUGACCCUCUGGGGAGAAGAAGUCACAAUUGGACAGAAAGUCAUUUCUGUGGCCUUUCGUUCGUGUGUGUGUGUGUGUGUGUGUGUGUGUGUGUGUGUGUGUGGCGCAUGCGCGUGCCGCUGCACCUUUGGCGUGUACUGUCCGUAGGGCGCCUUUGACAGCCGGUCUAUUCAAAGGCUGGGGCCGUGGGUUGGCGGCUCGGUGCCUGCCGCCGCGGUGGCUGAGAUCAUGCUGUUGAUUUUAUUUUACAGAGAGCAGCCCGGCCUGUUGUGCAGAGUACAGAAUGUUCUCUUCUGUGAACUGAGCUUGAACUUUUCCAACCCACUUUGUUUGGGGAACCAUACAGACACAGAGGGGAAAAGAUAGGGAAGAUAACCCCCAAAUGGUUGAAAUCAUUGUGUUCUCUCUGAUUUUGGCACAGAUCGUUUGCUUUUCACUGCUCCAAAUUAAAAAUCCCAAGCAUUACAGUUCUUGGAAAAAUGGAAUGCCUGUGAUGUCUUUUCUCUAACUCAGGGCUCUGGCUUUGACUUUGGAAAUUAACAAGUCGGUCACUGUCACUCCUCAAUUUCCUUUUUUUUUUUCUCCUAGGCAUUCAAGGGACAGGGACAACAAAAGCUGUUUCCCUAUAAGGAAAAGAAAAGGUUCCCAGUGCCUGUGACUUCUCUCCCAGUUGUUCAGGCUGUCACAACAUUACAAAUAGUGUUCCCCAAUUUGCCAUAUGGCCUGAGAUUUCAUAAUGAGGGCUUUGGGUCUUUGGCCUUCAUAUACAUCACCAACAUGAGAAGCUGCCAAUGCUUGCAGUGGAUUCCUUUCUUUAUACGAAAACGUACCAAAAACUCGCUAGUGAAGCAGGAAGAGCACAACUUUGUGGGAGCGGAGCUGGGAAUCUGAAGUGUGAGCGCUGGAUUUGAGUCUCCUAAGCAUGGGUAGCUGAUGACCACAGGAAGGAUCCGUGAGAAAGGCCAGAGAGUGGAAACUGAAACUGACUGACAACAGACUGGAAAGAGAGAGUCUGGAGCCGGGAUUAAGGGACUGUGGUUUCUGCAAGUCCGCUGUCCGUCUAGGGGUUGGCAUCUUCCAGGAGAGGCUAGAGCUUGUGAGUCUCAGCUCAGCCUGAGGACCCAUGGAGAAGAACGUAAUUCCAGCUCCAAAGGCCUCUCUUGCACAGAAGAAUUUUUAGCGUUGAGAGGAAGUCUAGAUGAGAAAUGCUGAGGCCAAGAGAGAGAACUUGCCCAUGAUCAUACAGCCAGUAAAUGGGGAAGCUGAGAUUCAAACUCAGUCAGUCGGCUUGCGGAAUUGUGACAAUAAGCUGUAUCUUCUGGGUCUGGCUGGGCCCCUGCCAUCCCUGUCAGUUCCUGUGUAUCUCUUAGCAAGGACUGGUCUUUUCUCAUGGUGCUCUGUUCCUUCUCCCAGUGGACCCUUGGUGCAUUUAAAAGUUUCAUGAAUAUAACCAAAUAUCUGACGUGUUCAGGAAGUAGAGGCAGGAAAAGAGAAAGGAGAGGGAAAAGUAAGGCGGCAGUGGGGUGGGUUGAGGAAUGUGCUUUUGAGGCUGGGCUGGAGCAGGCAGUGUGAAGGGGUAGAGUGCUGCUCCUCAUCACCAUUACCUGGCAACAGCGUCUGGACCACCUCUGCUUCCAUCUUCACCCCUGACAAUCCAUCCACCCUCCACAUGUCCACUAGGCUUAUCUUUCCAAAGCAGCACUGUCCUCAUCACUCCCCUAGUUCGUGCUUCCUGCUGACAUAUCUGACUUUUCCUGUCCCCAACUGAACUCUUCCUCUCUCCCUCAACGCCAACUCCCCCUUCCCGCCCCACCCACCGUCUGCUCUUCAGAUGGCCAUUCCAGACUCGCAGUUGGCCCCACCCUCCCUUCCCCACUCCUGUCCCACUAUUUCCCCACAUGAAGCUCAGCCUGGCAAGUUUUCUGUCUGUCCCUGCAAGCAUGGGGCUUGUCUGAUCUCAGCGCCUUCGCCCAUGUUGUGUCCCUGCCUGGAAUGCACCCAUCCUCCACCCCCUCUCUAUACCUACUCAUCCUUCAGACCCAGUUCAGGGCUUGCCUCUACCCUGAUAGCUUCCUCUGAUCUCUUCCUUUAUCUUUGCAAAUCUGCUUUUGCAUCAUCCCUUUAGGAAUAUCACCAAAUACUGUAGAGUAUUUAAAUGGUUCAUGUUUAUACCCUCAACCAGAUUCAUUCAUUCAUUUUGAAACUAUUUAUUGAAUUGCCUGUUAAGUUGCAGACACAGGAAGUUCAAUGACAAUGAAAGCAGAAGAGGUGUUAUAACUCCAGGAUCCACAAACAGGGCCAGAACAGUGUGGUGGAGGGCUAUUGUUCUUUUUUUUUUUUUCUUUUAAAGAUUGGCAGCUGAGCUAACAUCUGUUGCUAAUCUUCCUCUUUUUUUUCUUCUUCUUCUUCUCUCCAAAUCCCUCCAGUACAUAGUUGUGUAUUCUAGUUGUAGGUCCUUCUGGUUGUGUUAUGUGGGACACCCCCUCAGCAUGGCCUGAUGAGCGGUGCCAUGUCUGUGUCCAGGAUCUGAACCGGUGAAACCCUGGGCCACCAAAGCAGAGCGUGCAAACUUAACUACUUGGCCACGGCGUCGGCCCUAGGGCUAUUGCUUUUAACACCCAGCUUCUGUUCACCUUCUAGAAAACGCCUGAAUUUUGAGGGGUCAUCCUCUGAUGUACUAGUUCAUGUUGUAUGAGCAGGGCUGACCUCCCCACCUUGAAUGGAGUGGGCGUGUGACAGAGGCCUGGCCAGUGAGAGACCUGCAUUCCCCUGGUCACAGAUAUAGGUUCAGAGGUGGGUACAUCAUUCUGGCUAGGCCAAUGGCAGUCAGCCCUAGGUUCUUGCUAGAACUAUCUGGGGAUGCCAAGCCGGUGGAACGUGAGCUAGGAUCUUCUGGAAAUUAUUAUUGCCUCCACUGGAGAAGGCCUGUCUGAAGAUGAAGCCAACAUGAAGGAAAUCAGAGUUGAGGGUUGGAAAGCAAC